AGAUCAGGAUUCUGAGCCUGUUGGCUGUCA
Molecule: non-coding RNA, 30 nt
Filed under: Homo sapiens (human)
Lineage: Eukaryota; Metazoa; Chordata; Mammalia; Primates; Hominidae
Source: RNAcentral